AUGGCACUCUUCUGCCUCCCCGAUCUGCCUGAGAGCCUCCUGCACGCGGCGGACUUAUUCUCAUCUGCCUCAGCUCGCCGUCCUCCUGCUGUCGCACAGCGGCGCGACUACCACGACGCCGCUCGCUUCCCUCCUGCCGACCUCCUCUCCUCCCAGUUCUCUGUAGUGCGCGUCCUCCACGCCGACCUCGCGUGUGCGCCGCCUGCCCCUUCACACCAACGCCGCCACCUUGCCGCCGUCCCGGCGAGCCUCCAGACAGCUGCCGCUGGCCUCUCCAUUCUCCGUCGCGCCUGUCUACCCUCCGCCUCCCCUUGCUUCCAUGACGUGGCCUCCAAUAUUGCAAAGGUCUCUGCUCCAAAUGUCUGCUGA
This 369-nucleotide ribosomal RNA is filed under the name Triticum aestivum (bread wheat). RNAcentral's name for it is "partial small subunit ribosomal RNA". The record is from RNAcentral. Lineage: Eukaryota; Viridiplantae; Streptophyta; Magnoliopsida; Poales; Poaceae.